CGUAGGAUGCAAGCGUUGUCCGGAAUUAUUGGGCGUAAAGAGCGCGCAGGCGGUCUAUCAAGUCAGAUGUGAAAUAUCCGGGCUUAACCUGGAGGGGUCAUUUGAAACUGGUAGACUAGAGUACAGCAGAGGAUAGUGGAAUUCCCGGUGUAGUGGUGAAAUGCGUAGAUAUCGGGAGGAACACCAGUGGCGAAGGCGACUAUCUGGGCUGAAACCGACGCUGAGGCGCGAAGGCUAGGGGAGCAAACAGGAUUAGAUACCCUGGUAGUCCUAGCAGUAAACGAUGGAUACUAGGUGUUGGGGGAAAUUGACCCCCUCAGUGCCGCAGUUAACACAAUAAGUAUCCCGCCUGGGGAGUACGGUCGCAAGACUA
RNAcentral lists this ribosomal RNA (373 nucleotides) under uncultured organism. RNAcentral describes it as "bacterial SSU rRNA". It matches the Rfam family "Bacterial small subunit ribosomal RNA", at positions 526 to 896 of the family's 1533-position model. The record is from RNAcentral.